Long non-coding RNA from Pyrus x bretschneideri (Chinese white pear), 980 nucleotides. RefSeq lists it as uncharacterized. Lineage: Eukaryota; Viridiplantae; Streptophyta; Magnoliopsida; Rosales; Rosaceae. The transcript is spliced from 4 exons. The record is from RefSeq and is a predicted model, not a curated record.
UUCUCAUAUACAUGUCAUUAACUCCAAGGGGUUAGAGAGAGAUUUGGUUUCUGGUUGUAGUGAAUUAUCUCAUAGCCCUAUAUGAAAUAAAGUUGAGUGAGCAAUUUGCGAAAACUUAGAACAAACACAAUUGGUUCCGUAUGCUUCAUCAAGCACAAGGGCAAUGCAAAAGAAAGCAAAAGGAAGAGGGAAAAAAAUAAAUAAAUAAAUAAAAAAUUUGGCGGUACCAUAACAAACAAUAGGCGCUUGUUUUAAAAUUUUCAAGAGUUUCCGUAAACCUCACAUCCCUAUUUCCACCCUCUUUCCCAUGCAACUCUCAAUUCCCAUAGAUGACCUCUCUAUUUCCCAUAUAUCUCUCUUCCCUCUCACAAGCUUUCCCGUAGAUAACCUCUCACUUCCCUAUUUCCCAUAGACCUUUCUUCCCUCUUGCGUGCUCAUCUCUCCCUCUUCAUUUCCCGUAGAUCUCUCUUCCUUCUCACAAGCUUUUGUCUUCAAAAUCUCGAAUCCAACGCGAAUCUCGAAGCCGACGCGAAUUAAGUCCCAAAAUCAAGUUUGCAGAGGGGUUGAUGGGUUGCAGGUAGAGAGAGGGAUCUACGGGAGGGAAGAGAAGUCUACUAGCGCAGCGCCUCAACUGAAGGUCCUUCUUCUUCUUCCUCUUCAUUCUUUUGGCCCUAAACUCCAAUUUUUGUUUUGUUAUAUGCAAACAGGAUUUCUGUAAACAGGGGUUAUCUAAUCGAGAGGACUUUGAUGGGUUUGUCAAGAAGGGCGAUCUUCCCGGUUAUGCUAUUCUAAAUACACCAAAAGGUCCUAUCACAGUGGAACUUUUCAAGGAUGGUUCUCCAGAGGUUGUGGAUAGAUUUAUUGACUUAUGGUGAGUAUUCGACAUCACAUGUAUCUUGCAUACAUACUUGCUGUAGUAAUAUUAAAUCAUGUCUAUUUGAAGCUAUUUCUCUACAGGGUAAGAGAAUAAAGUUAAAAUU